AAGUCGUAACAAGGUUUCCGUAGGUGAACCUGCGGAAGGAUCAUUUCCAAAAAGCAAAAUUGUGCCACACAAUACAAUAUAUACACCUUUUGGUGUGUGAAAUGUAAAGGAAUUGGUAUCUUAUCAAUUUUACUCUCUUCUAAUGUGCCUUGUAUCGCGUAUACAGGCAUUUAGAUAGAGAGGCCUUGAUGAACCCACAUCUUUGAAGAGCUUUCUACAUUUUUAAUAAUGUAAAAAGUACUCUGAAAGGACGUUAACAAAAAGUCUCGAUAUGUUUCCAAGUAAAUAAAGAGGAAGGAGGUUGAUGGACUUGUGUAGUAUCUUGUAUACCACAAUACAUCCAACUAACUACUCUAUACACUAGUAAAUAUACAGACAACUUUUAACGGUGGAUCUCUUGGCUCGU
Molecule: unclassified non-coding RNA, 406 nt
Filed under: fungal sp.
Lineage: Eukaryota; Fungi
Description: partial internal transcribed spacer region
Rfam family: Eukaryotic small subunit ribosomal RNA (bases 1-46)
Source: RNAcentral